Molecule: small nucleolar RNA, 85 nt
Organism: Castor canadensis (American beaver)
Lineage: Eukaryota; Metazoa; Chordata; Mammalia; Rodentia; Castoridae
Source: Ensembl
GCAGCCAGUGAUGACAAUAUCUCCCACUCUUGUUCGAGUUUCCCAACCAUGAGACAACUUCACAUGCACUACCAUCUGAGGCUGC